GUGAGUCAUCGAAUCUUUGAACGCACCUUGCACCCUUUGGCAUUCCGAAGGGUAUGCUCGUUUGAGUGUCAUUGUACUCUCACACUCCCGAUCGUUCGAUUGGGAGCGGUGGACUUGGGUGUUGCUGCUUGCCGUGGCUCACCUCAAAUGGUUCGUGCACCUCUUGGUUGGACAUAGUACGGCGUGAUAAGUGUCUUCGCCGGCGCCUCAGUAGAGGGUGGCCGAUCGGGAGCUCUGUGCUUCCAACCGUCCUCGGACAACGACUGACAACUUGACCUCAAAUCGAGUAGGACCACCCGCUGAACUUAAGCAUAUCAAUAAGCGGAGG
RNAcentral lists this ribosomal RNA (328 nucleotides) under uncultured Tremellodendron. RNAcentral describes it as "eukaryotic LSU rRNA". The stretch from base 1 to 71 matches the Rfam family "5.8S ribosomal RNA", at positions 84 to 154 of the family's 154-position model. Lineage: Eukaryota; Fungi; Basidiomycota; Agaricomycetes; Sebacinales; Sebacinaceae. The record is from RNAcentral.